UCUUUUUCCGGUUUUGCCCCUACGGGCUUUCUAGUGUCUAAUAGAAUAUAGGGGUAGUUUAGUCUUUUAGUCUAGAGUUAGUGGGCGAUAAAUAUCUCUCUCCCUCCCCACUCUCUCUCUCUUUUCACCUGUGCAUCACGCCACCUCUUCUGGUCCUGGCGUUCUUCUCCUCCCUGUCCCUCUUCUCCUCCUCUCUAGGGUUAGGAAAUUACCAUGGAUCAUUGAGUUUUGUAGGGAGAUUGGAUGGAAUGGAGGCCCUAUCCUCCUGUGCCCUCCGGGGUUUUUGAUUCAUCUAUUUUGGCUGUGAUUUUUGUUCCCCGUGUGGUUCUUUGUGUGCUGGAAUUUUGUUUUCCUCCUCCCAUUUUUGUUCCUGCGCAGAGGACCUUGGUUGCUGGGCUUGGCGUGGCUUUGGGCAGGUGCAGCGCGCUGCCUACUCCAGGCUGGGAGCAGAGGCGCUUGGGCACUUGGGUUGCAGCGCAGCAAGGCAAUCUAGAAGGGGCACGCAGUGCCUGGGUGCGCGCGCAAGGGAGCGAUCCAGCAGGCUGAUUCAGCUCGGCCUGGGGGCAGGUCACCGGCACAGCAGCUCGUGGCCUAGCAGGUAAAUCGAAGGUGCAGCUCGCCCAGGGAGGCACAGCAGAAGGCAAGCGAGCGCACAGCAGGGAGGCAGUAACCGGCAGGAAUCACCAAGCUUUUGAACAGCAGCUAUUUCUCCACGCCCGCAAGGUGUUCGAAGGUUUGCUUCACCGGUCUUUUCUUUUUCCGUUAAUUUUGUUAGAUUUGUCCUAGGCUUUAGUCAUGCACCUAAUCACUUUCCCGUAGUUUGCUCUUUCUGUAGCUUUUGAAGUUUUGCUGUAGAAUUAAAUUUCUUGCUCUUGGCCAUAAUUAAUUUCCCGCUUAAUUAGAAUCAGAAAAACCUCUAAAAAUUAGUUGCUAGCCUUUUAAUCUUGCCUACUAGCAUGCUAGGGUUAGAUUAGUUUUUACUUGAGCAUUUAAUUUAGUUUUUGUUCGACUAACCUUCUCGUUUUGGUCUGUUCUCGUUUUGCCUGGUUUCAACUCGUUUUGCUUUCGGAUUGCGUGUGUUCUCAGGUUUUGCUUCCGCAAGAGUUUUGCGACACUCCGAUUGUGUUCCUAGCACUAGCAGCUUGUCUAUGCUGCGUAGUAUUGGCACAUUUUAGGAGCAGUGGUGUGGUGUUUGAAUCGGGAUUUUUUUUCUUCGAUUUUCGGAUCAAAUUUGAGGCUCCCAUUCAACCCCCCCUUCUGGUCGCCUGUCCGGUCCUUCAGAGAGAGAGUACAGCACGUAAGGGGGCAGGCGGGCACCUAGUCUUGAAGCGUUGAGCGGGGAUGAGGCGGGGGCAGAGCCAUCGACCGCGAGGGCGGCUGCUGCGAGCACCGCGAGUGGCGCGGCGAGGUGUGCCAGGGCCGCAAGCGCGACGCAGGCGGUGAAGAGGAAGACCACGAACAGUUGGUGUUCACAGUGACAAUGUGCAUUAUAGAGACCCCGGCAAUCUAUAACUGAAAACCUUUUGGUGUUCCUUAACUGAUGUGAUAACUCAAAGCCUGUUCUUUAUAACUGAAGUGAUAAUUGAAAUAUUGUUGGUGUUCCUUUUUCUAAGUGCGCUAGGCAGCAGGGGAAGAACGUAUGGUUAGGAUCUAAUUUUGUACUUAAGAUCAAACGGCUAAAAUAAAAAUGAUGAUGUGGCUCAAUGUGGUUGCAGGAAAAUCAGAGUUAAUGAUGUUUAGUGGGUUCCAUCUAUAUAGGAUAUAUAGAUAUAGAUUGGUAGGAUUGAAUUAUUGAAGGAAAAGCUGACGACCCUGGAGAAGUGGUGGAGUUCAGACCUCGGCUGCCAAUACUGUGUCAUCCUCCUCGGGGCUGGCCCAGCCGAAAAGAGCUGCCAUGGCUUCAACAUGAACUGAGAGGCUCCAAAACAACAUGCUUCUGGUUCCACUCCAGUAAUCCGAUGGCUGCCGUGGGGGAACUGCCGGAGCACGGGCAUGGGAGCUGAAUCUAUUGGCCCUCGGAGUUGGUAAGAUUCUGGCCAUCUUCUAGGAAAGCUACAACAAUAAUUGAGCCUGCUUGCUGGAGGGAGGACUGCUUGCACGCCUUGUUGUUGCAAAUCCACUGGAGGUGCAGCAGUAGAGCCCGCAGCUAAAGAUUGCCUCUUUGAUUUCCGAAAUGCAAGGGAUGUCGGUUGCUUGGGUCUGUGGAGGAUAUUCAAGGCAUUGGGGAGCCAGUCACUGCAGGCCCGUUCAAUUCUAAUUUGAUGGUAAUAGAGUGCAUUGGGUACACUCCACUAAACUUCUGGUCAUGGUCGAAGUGGAUAGUUACUAAUGGGUUCGAUGAUCAUACUGACGCCGCCAUCACUAUUAAGGAUGUGAAGUUCUUUCUAAAGGAGCUGAAAACGAAAUGACACUGAUAUCAAUAUGUAGGCCCACCGAGCGGAGGCAUUUCGUCAUAAAUUUGUGACUAAAAUCAUUACUCUUGUUAAGAGUUCGAUGUGUUGAAUAUCAACUGUUCUUCUCCUUUUGCAUGCCAUGUAUAUUAAACUAAAUACAAGAGUUGCAUGGCCAUGCAUGAGUUCAAUGCAUUGCUACAUGUAAUCGGAUAUCUAGCGCAGGUUGCCACAAUUUUGGAAGAAUAGCUUCGCAAAUCUCGGCCAGAAUCGGAAGAGGCAGCAACGCUCUGGCAUCAGGUUGGGUCAAGGUUCCCUCUGGAUAUGCUUAGUAACGGGUCAUGAUCCGGACGGACGCUCCUGCUCUUCGCGGUCAAUUUUCUAUAGAAAUUGUUCAUGUUGCAACAUCCUUUUCUAUCAAGAUUCAACUGCUCUCUGGCUAGAUUCGUGUGGGCCUGUCUCAGAGAGGUGUUUGGAGACGAUAUGACCAGUUUUUGGGAAGAGCUGCUUUGGGGGCAAGCUCACGGGCAUGCUUAAAACUAACUUGAGGCUGUGCCUCUUCCUUUUUGCAGGGAUUGCUUGGUCAAUCUUGAGAACACGAAAUAAGAUGUCAAUUGAAAGACAUUCUCUGAAAACCCUAUUGAUGUCAUAUAGUCUGGUGUAUCUUUUGUGCAGAAAUGGUGGACAUCCUUUUCUAUAAACAUAAGCAGCCCUUUUGGCCUUCAGCG
Long non-coding RNA from Panicum virgatum (switchgrass), 3118 nucleotides. RefSeq lists it as uncharacterized. The transcript is spliced from 5 exons. Lineage: Eukaryota; Viridiplantae; Streptophyta; Magnoliopsida; Poales; Poaceae. The record is from RefSeq and is a predicted model, not a curated record.